CAGUAGCCACGGUAAUACAGAGGAUGCAAGCGUUAUCCGGAAUGAUUGGGCGUAAAGCGUCUGUAGGUGGCUUUUCAAGUCCGCCGUCAAAUCCCCGGGCUCAACCCUGGACAGGCAGUGGAAACUACCAAGCUGGAGUACGGUAGGGGCAGAGGGAAUUUCCGGUGAGGCGGUGAAAUGCGUUGAGAUAGGAAAGAACACCAACGGCGAAAGCACUAUGCUAGGCCGACACUGACACUGAGAGACGAAAGCUAGGGGAGCAAAUGGGAUUAGAUACCCGCGUAGUCCCUGUCUCUUAUAC
RNAcentral lists this ribosomal RNA (301 nucleotides) under uncultured bacterium. Its description in RNAcentral is "partial 16S ribosomal RNA". It matches the Rfam family "Bacterial small subunit ribosomal RNA", at positions 509 to 807 of the family's 1533-position model. The record is from RNAcentral.